Molecule: long non-coding RNA, 2218 nt
Organism: Homo sapiens (human)
Lineage: Eukaryota; Metazoa; Chordata; Mammalia; Primates; Hominidae
Gene: ZBTB7C-AS1
Product: ZBTB7C antisense RNA 1
Source: Ensembl
GACCCCGCAGGGGGCGAGGCGGGGCUGAGAGGGGCGAACGCAGAGCCAGACCCCCCGCCGCCGCAGGCCGCCCACCUCCAGGCAGGGCUUCGUGCCAGACCCGGCUGUAGUUAUCAGCUGGGUGGAGGGCAGUGCCAGCUGCAGGCGUCCCCGAGGCGCAAACACCACCCCUGGCCCCAGCCUCCUUCCCUGCAGCCUUCUACCUUCUACCGGAAACAGAGCCACGGGGAGCUAAAGGAGGAUCCAGCAACAGUGGAGGCAGGGACUCCACCUCAGAGGCAGGGCCGCACUGAAGCCCAGCUCACCUACCUGCUGGGUGACCUUGGGCAAGUGACUUCUCUAUGCCUCAGUUGUUGCAUCUGUAAAAUUGAGAUAGUAAUAGUAUUCACCUCACUGAGUGCUGCGGUUUGGUGCCUGGCACAUAAUAGGGACUUCAUAGACAGUUGUUACUAUUAUUACCUCUUCCCCCACAUUUGGGGUUUGGCAGAGGGAUGUAUUGGCUACAUGGUCAUUAAGGAUCUGUUAAGCACCUCCUAUGCACGAGGGAGAUCACAUGGUAUGGUCCAAGAGUCUUGGAGUUAGAUGUGGGGUUGAAUCCUGGCCCUGUCACUUCAUAGCUGUGUGUGACCUUGUAAAAUUCUGUCUCCUCUCUGAGCUGAAGUUCCCCCACAGGAAAAUAGGGACCGUAAUGCCCAUCUUCCGGGGCCAAUGCUGGAUUCAAUGAGAUAAUGUACAGGGAGUGCCCAGGGCAGUUCUCAGCACACAAUAGUGCCUCUCAGUAAAUAAGAGACGCAGGAUGGAGAGGACAGGCUCAGUUUCUGCUACAGAAGAGCUCUGGGCAGGCAUAAACAUGGCUUCUUAUGCCUAUCCCCCUUCUCAGAGCAGCUCAGAACACUUAUCACACCUUUCUCCUUGACCCUCACCUCUCUGGAAGAUUAGAAGCAGAAGAUUUAUUGGAUCAACUUCUCAGCUGUGGAAUCUGAGCAAACAGAAGGGAAGUGGCUGAGGGAGGCCUCAGACCAGCUGUAUCCCUGGACCAGAGGUCACAGCGCUGGCUAAGGAAACCUUCCAUGCAGGAGUGCUGUGAGCUGAGCAGUGCAUAAGAAAAGAGUGUUUGUGGGAAUCAGCAUUUUACCACCUGGCAGACCUGCCUGGGCUGUAGCAGAGCCUCCCCACUCAGUGGACAAGGGACAGGAGGGAUCAAAGGUUGAGGAAAGAUAUUAUUUCAAUCAAGAUAAUGAUUCUACUUCUUGAACGGAAAUGAGAUUUUUUUUCAUUGCCUCAUGGGGGUGCCACCAACAUCUGUCUCCGGGCUGGAACAGGUCAUGAACAAGUUAGAGGAUUUUCUUGUAACCUGAGAGAGAGUGUAAACAUGAAGGAGAACUGAAAGAAGGGAGCUUGCUUGCAAGAGAAAAACAUAUCUGCCAGGCCUCCACGAUUAUAAAAUAAGCUCAAUUUGGAAAAUGUACACUGGCAUUGAACAGAGCAUUCAAGACCGAACUUCAGAAGGAAGCCCAACCUAAGUCAGUCACCAGUGGCUCAAAAUGAAGCCCUCCAGCAUCUUUUCAGAGGGUUGUCCCAGGAGUUGGAAGCACACGUGAGCCUUCCUCCUUGAAGGCAGCACCAUAACCACCUUCCUGCCUUGCCGAAGACCACCAGUCUGACAUAAUACAGCCCACGAAAGCCAGCAACAGCAAAACAUGGACAUCCAGAACAGACAGAGUUCUGACAACUGGACCCCGUGGCGCAGCACAAUGAUGACUCUUCUUCCCCAGGAUGAAUAAGCAGGAGGCAAGGGCUGAGCCAAAAGGACCUGUUGCAUAAUCUGAGCAAUGUCCAGUUAUGUGCAGCGGAAAGUCAGUGUGGACGUCUUAGGCAGCUCUACCACUUACUAGCAGAGCAAACUAGAGCAAAUAUUGAAUGAUUCUGAGCCUCAGUUUCUUCAUCUGCAAAAUGGGAAUACUGGAUAGAGCCUUUGUAAAGCACCUAUGAGGCAGUACCUUCAAGAGUGCUGCAAAUUGCUCAUCCAAUGUGAAUACUGGCUGUUGUUAUGGAGAUUUAUAACUAGCUACCUUCUCCUGCUUGCUUGGGACAAAUAUUAAUUAAUCAUCAUUAAAUAAAUAUAUCCCAGCUGCCCCUCAUCCUGAGCACAGUACCUAGAGCUCCCUGCGUGAGAAGUGGCUCUGGGGGAAAGGCAAGUGGACAAUUGGGAGUGCUG